UCGAACGAUGAACCACCUUCGGGUGGGGAUUAGUGGCGAACGGGUGAGUAACACGUGGGCAAUCUGCCCUGCACUCUGGGACAAGCCCUGGAAACGGGGUCUAAUACCGGAUACUGAACCACUUGGGCAUCCUGGUGGUUCGAAAGCUCCGGCGGUGCAGGAUGAGCCCGCGGCCUAUCAGCUUGUUGGUGAGGUAACGGCUCACCAAGGCGACGACGGGUAGCCGGCCUGAGAGGGCGACCGGCCACACUGGGACUGAGACACGGCCCAGACUCCUACGGGAGGCAGCAGUGGGGAAUAUUGCACAAUGGGCGAAAGCCUGAUGCAGCGACGCCGCGUGAGGGAUGACGGCCUUCGGGUUGUAAACCUCUUUCAGCAGGGAAGAAGCGAGAGUGACGGUACCUGCAGAAGAAGCGCCGGCUAACUACGUGCCAGCAGCCGCGGUAAUACGUAGGGCGCGAGCGUUGUCCGGAAUUAUUGGGCGUAAAGAGCUCGUAGGCGGCUUGUCGCGUCGGUUGUGAAAGCCCGGGGCUUAACCCCGGGUCUGCAGUCGAUACGGGCAGGCUAGAGUUCGGUAGGGGAGAUCGGAAUUCCUGGUGUAGCGGUGAAAUGCGCAGAUAUCAGGAGGAACACCGGUGGCGAAGGCGGAUCUCUGGGCCGAUACUGACGCUGAGGAGCGAAAGCGUGGGGAGCGAACAGGAUUAGAUACCCUGGUAGUCCACGCCGUAAACGGUGGGCACUAGGUGUGGGCGACAUUCCACGUCGUCCGUGCCGCAGCUA
RNAcentral lists this ribosomal RNA (780 nucleotides) under Streptomyces sp. 3-344. RNAcentral describes it as "bacterial SSU rRNA". It matches the Rfam family "Bacterial small subunit ribosomal RNA", at positions 62 to 854 of the family's 1533-position model. Lineage: Bacteria; Bacillati; Actinomycetota; Actinomycetes; Kitasatosporales; Streptomycetaceae. The record is from RNAcentral.